GACGUAGGGUGCGAGCGUUGUCCGGAUUUAUUGGGCGUAAAGAGCUCGUAGGCGGUUUGUCGCGUCUGCUGUGAAAAUCCAGGGCUUAACCCUGGACCUGCAGUGGGUACGGGCAGACUGGAGUGCGGUAGGGGAGAUCGGAAUUCCUGGUGUAGCGGUGAAAUGCGCAGAUAUCAGGAGGAACACCGGUGGCGAAGGCGGAUCUCUGGGCCGUAACUGACGCUGGAGGAGCGAAAGCUGGGGAGCAACAGG
RNAcentral lists this ribosomal RNA (252 nucleotides) under uncultured bacterium. RNAcentral's name for it is "partial 16S ribosomal RNA". It matches the Rfam family "Bacterial small subunit ribosomal RNA", at positions 524 to 776 of the family's 1533-position model. The record is from RNAcentral.